CAGCUUUGUUAAGCACACACAGGAAGCGUGAAUCAAAGAGUUAUAGGCCUGGUCUUGUUAUACUUUCAGAGACACACACUGAGAUCUACUAACGGAUUCACUUAUGAAAGGAUUUUUUUUUUAAGCUAAACAAAGAAUCUUACAUUUGUUGGGAAAAUGUUUUUGAAAAUCAAACCAACUAAUCACAAGAACACUACUGAACUCAAUCACAAGAGUUCCUGGCUGUUACCUGCUAACAACCCUCUGCCUCUAGAAACAAUUUUUGAGGGCAUGUCAAAACAAGGUCCCAAACAAUUUUGUUGAUUUUCUAAAAGAUGCAGGACAGCUGCUUGAAACCAGCAUGAAUCUUGUUUUUUCUCCACCUCACAGAAGUAAUCCAGAUUUCCCCUAAGACUGUAAACUACUUAAAACAGAAACUGAGGACAAAGUACACAAAAACAGAUACAAGCUUUACAAUCUCAGUGGUAAUGUCAAGGCUCAGAAUUGAAAGUCCUCAGUACCACUGUGUCUGAGCCACGUUUACACAGCAGAUGCAUUCCUUCUCCUCCUUUUCCCAAUUCCGAACCACUCUGCAGGAUGUCCAGAGAGAGAGAGAGAAUUCUACCAUGAAGAAUACACAGCGUCCCAUUAGUAUAUUUUUCACUAGCUAUUCUGGGGCCUGUCCCCUUCCUAAAAUAAAUAUUCCCCUGUGGGACAUAACUGAAGGUACGAGAUACGUAUACUUCUAAAGCAGCAACAGUCCCUGAGAUCAAAAGUCAAUGUGCACACUGAGUGCGGGUGUUCCUAUCCACCAAUGACUCAGCGUUGACCUGGCUGGCUAGAAAAGAAUCUGCUACAUAAUUUCUAAGUCCUAAUCAUUUCUAAAAUUGACUAAGAGGUCAUUAAAAGAUACAGGCUUAUAGUUUUUGUUAAGGAAAACAGGAUUUUGAUUUAAAAGCCCAACUAGUUAAGAGUACUACUUUCACCAAGAAGUCCCAAAUGUAUUUCCUUUGGUCAGAGUCUAAUUCUGACUGUGAAUCUUUAACGAAAUGUCCAGAAUUUUACCGAAUCCCUUUAACAUUUAAAAUAGAACAGACCCAGGAUUGUGCUUAUACUCAAAGCUCUUACUUAUCUCCUUUACUCCAUUUUUCUCCACUAGGUGGUCUGUAUGCUCGUAAUCUCUGCAUUUCCUCUUUCCAGUGAGGAGGUGUUUCACUGCUGUCAUCAUCAUCUGACUCAGAACAGGAUCUUGACCUUGGAGGUGUGUGAUAGCGCUUUAAAAACAAAGAGAAUACUAUUUUUAAAAAUGCAUCUCAACAGUCUGCUAUAGGACAGAGUUAAGUAAAAGAUCCAAUCUCAGAUCAUCCCGUCAAAGGCAAUGAUUCAGGUUGCCAAAAGGGUGGUCUAAAGUUAUUUCUUUUUCCUUUUUUUUUCUUUUUAAUUUUUAUUUUAGGUUCGGGUGAAGUUAUUUCAAACGAGGCAUUAAAAAAGAUGGGCAAGGCUGAGAGAUUCACCUGUAAUGCACAUAAACUUUUCCUCGUCAGUCUUAAUGAAUACAUUCAUUAGCCUAGAUUAUUCAACAUGCCAGAUUUCUCAGCAUACCGACAGUUUUACACGUUCCUCUUUUUAGACUCAAUUAAACCCAUUCAAACACAGCAGAAUAAUUUGAUCUAACAGCAACAUCUUCCCAUAAUUAUGGAAAAUAAAAUUAGUUCCUUGAAUAGAUUUUGUAUUAUAUCUAAAAUUAAAGCUAGGAUUUUGAUGAUAGGUAAACAUUUUUUCCUAUUUAGAUAUAUAAUUUCAAAAAAAGUCUUAUCACACAUACAAUUGUGCCCCUUCCUUUAAUCUUCCGUCCAGACUUUGAUACAGAUGGUUUCUGAUCACUUACAACGGGUGCAACAUCAGGAAUCUUCCUAGGAAAAGAAGAUGGUGAUGAAAAUUAAAAAUAAGCAAAGGGGAAGCAUUUUUCUCAAUGUUUAAAUACAGAAUUUAUGUCCCUAUAAUACCAAAACACUUCAUUUAUCCAACACUUUUGUAGAAUGAGACAUUCCACAUAACCUUAUUUUGUAAGCAAACCAUUUAAAUGACAAAACUUAAAAAAAA
Molecule: long non-coding RNA, 2082 nt
Organism: Sapajus apella (tufted capuchin)
Lineage: Eukaryota; Metazoa; Chordata; Mammalia; Primates; Cebidae
Exons: 2
Source: RefSeq, a predicted model, not a curated record